RNAcentral lists this ribosomal RNA (253 nucleotides) under uncultured bacterium. Its description in RNAcentral is "partial 16S ribosomal RNA". It matches the Rfam family "Bacterial small subunit ribosomal RNA", at positions 524 to 776 of the family's 1533-position model. The record is from RNAcentral.
UACGUAUGGCGCAAGCGUUGUCCGGAAUUAUUGGGCUUAAAGAGCUCGUAGGCGGUUUGUCGCGUCUGCUGUGAAAACCUAAGGCUCAACCUUGGGCUUGCAGUGGGUACGGGCAGACUAGAGUGCGGUAGGGGUGACUGGAAUUCCUGGUGUAGCGGUGGAAUGCGCAGAUAUCAGGAGGAACACCGAUGGCGAAGGCAGGUCACUGGGCCGCAACUGACGCUGAGGAGCGAAAGCGUGGGGAGCGAACAGG